UGCAGUCGAGCGGACCGACGGGAGCUUGCUCCCUUAGGUCAGCGGCGGACGGGUGAGUAACACGUGGGUAACCUGCCUGUAAGACUGGGAUAACUCCGGGAAACCGGGGCUAAUACCGGAUGCUUGAUUGAACCGCAUGGUUCAAUCAUAAAAGGCGGCUUCGGCUGCCGUUUACAGAUGGACCCGCGGCGCAUUAGCUAGUUGGUGAGGUAACGGCUCACCAAGGCGACGAUGCGUAGCCGACCUGAGAGGGUGAUCGGCCACACUGGGACUGAGACACGGCCCAGACUCCUACGGGAGGCAGCAGUAGGGAAUCUUCCGCAAUGGACGAAAGUCUGACGGAGCAACGCCGCGUGAGUGAUGAAGGUUUUCGGAUCGUAAAGCUCUGUUGUUAGGGAAGAACAAGUACCGUUCGAAUAGGGCGGUACCUUGACGGUACCUAACCAGAAAGCCACGGCUAACUACGUGCCAGCAGCCGCGGUAAUACGUAUGUGGCAAGCGUUGUCCGGAAUUAUUGGGCGUAAAGCGCGCGCACGCGGUUUCUUAAGUCUGAUGUGAAAGCC
This 563-nucleotide ribosomal RNA is filed under the name Bacillus sp. CSu3_22. RNAcentral describes it as "bacterial SSU rRNA". It matches the Rfam family "Bacterial small subunit ribosomal RNA", at positions 56 to 602 of the family's 1533-position model. Lineage: Bacteria; Bacillati; Bacillota; Bacilli; Caryophanales; Bacillaceae. The record is from RNAcentral.